GCCAUCAUAUUGGAUGCAAAUUAGAUGAGAAAAGGGGGCCCUGUUAAUAUUUUGAGGGGAGUUCGAGAUAUAUAUAAAAAGAGAGGCGGCAAUUAGGAGUUGUAGACAGCAAUUUUAAGGCGGCUAUUAUUUUAGGGAGGCAAUACCCCAUAAAUAUAUACGUAACAUCAAACGGCUGCUAUAUAUUAUUAUUAUUAUUGUUGGAGAACGAGGAGAAUAAUUUUUUUUUAGGCAACCGAUCAAGAUUUUCGAGAAGCACGAAGGGAACUUAGACGGAAGAAUAGAAGCAACAUCGAAGCAAUACACGACCAGACAUCAGCCGCACAUCAGGGGAACGGACAGCUUCUUGGACGAAUUGGAAUAUUAUUUUGAAGGGAGCAAGCUCAAGAGUUAUUGGGAUUAAAGUGGGAAGCUUAGAGAUCAAGGAAUUUACGGGUUCUACCUUACGAUUUCUUUUAUUUUCUAUUUUUCUUAUUUUACUUCAAUGAAUUCUUGUUCUAGACUUUUUGUUUUUACUUUUUAGACCAUGAUUCUUGGCUAAACCCAGGGUCGGCUAAGCCCAUGUGUAGAGUGGGCCUGUGCAUAGGGCCCAAACCAGCAUGGGGCCAAAAAAAAAAAACGAAAAUUCUGUAUGUUCUUAUAUAGGCCCACGGUUUUAAUGAAUAGAAAUAGGCCCAAAUACAAACAAUAAGGGCCCAGAUGAUUGAAAAAAAUUCACGCACAGGAGGGACGAGGGAAAGUGGGAUUUGGGAAACAAAAAGACGCUGAUCACGCACAGGAGACAAAAGGUCGACGCUGAAUCGCUGAUCAGUUCCUAAUUCCUUAUCAGUAUUGCACGCACAGGAGACAAGGAUUUCGGAAUCGAAUCAGAUUAUCGGAGUAUAUCAGUCGCAAAUCGCAAUUAUCAUCAGUUUGAGAAUCGGAGGUAUAUCAGUCGCAAUUAUCAUCAGACAUUCAGACUUUCGGAAUCGGUCAUCGGAGAAAGAAGUUUCUCAAAGUUGAAGUUGUUGAAGACCUAUUUACGUUCUACAAUGUCACAAGAAAGGCUAAACGGGUUGGCGACAAUUUCUAUUGAAAGUGAAAUAUUAGAUACUAUGGAUUACAAGGAGUUGAUCGAGAGCUUUGCUUCAAAAAUCGCUAGAAGAACCACACUUUUCGCUUAGCAAGAUUAAAUGAGCUCAAAUGAACAAAAGAAGCAAAAAGACAGCUAAAUCUGACAUAAAUACAAGAAAAGGAAUAAACGAGGCAUGUCCGACCCCCUGAUAGCAUCUUCCCAAGCAAAAACAAGAGAACAGAAGGCUGAACACGCCCCGUGCUCAAUGAGCACGGGGGCGUGCCCAAGUUUCUGCAGAAAAGACAAAGUUAUAGAAGCUUCUAUCACCCACCACGGGGGCGUGCCCAGCGGACACGGGGCCAUGGUAAACUCUAAGAUUCGCAGAAUCUGAGGAAAUCUUGAUAGUACAGAUACGCUUCUGCACACGGGGUCGUGCCCAACGGACACGGGGGCGUUGUCAACUAAUGCAGACAAACUACAAUUAAUGAAGAAAGAGAAGAUGGGUGGACAUGGGGCCGUGCCCAAUGGACACGGGGCCGUGUCCGGGCUUCUGUGCAGGCUAUAAAGGUGCUUGGCUCAUUUGCAAACCAUCCCUUGGCACACCACCUCUCUCACACUUCACCCACACUCCACCACCACCACCACAACACCAUCAUCCACCACCAUCAUCCAUCAUAGAGUGUGUGAGUAGUCUCGGGAUCCAAGAUUGAUCGUAAGAGUUCUUGACAAUCAAAAGCCAUGUUUGCCUAAGUCUCUUACAUCACUUGGUCAAGACAAGUGUCUAGUGUAAUACUUUUUAUUUUUAAUCUUUUCGCAUUUUUUAUUUGGUUAUGUAUUAAUGACUUUAAUAACUAGUUUCUUAUGUUGAAGGUGA
Long non-coding RNA from Helianthus annuus (common sunflower), 1928 nucleotides. RefSeq lists it as uncharacterized. The record is from RefSeq and is a predicted model, not a curated record. NCBI's taxonomy places the organism in Eukaryota, Viridiplantae, Streptophyta, Magnoliopsida, Asterales, Asteraceae. The transcript is spliced from 4 exons.